AGCGGCGGACGGGCGAGUAACGCGUAAUCAACCUGCCCUUGAGACUGGAAUAGCUACUGGAAACGGUAGGUAAUGCCAGAUGGCCCCCCGGAUCGGCAUCGAUCUGUGGGUAAACGGUGGCGCAAGCUGCUGCUCAGGGAGGGGAUUGCGUCCUAUCAGCUAGUUGGCGGGGUAAUGGCCCACCAAGGCGAUGACGGGUAGCUGGUCUGAGAGGACGACCAGCCGCACUGGGACUGAGACACUGCCCAGACUCCUACGGGAGGCUGCAGUCGAGAAUCUUCCGCAAUGGGCGAAAGCCUGACGGAGCGACACCGCGUGCAGGACGAAGGCCUUCGGGUUGUAAACUGCUGUCACGCUAUAGGAAACCCAGGUCGUUAAUACCGAUCUGGUCGACUAAAGCGAGAGGAAGUGGCGGCUAACUCUGUGCCAGCAGCCGCGGUAAGACAGAGGCCACGAACGUUGUUCGGAAUUACUGGGCAUAAAGCGCACGUAGGCGGCUAGGUCCGUCCGAUGUGAAAUACCCCGGCUCAACCGGGGAACUGCAUCGGAUACAGCCUGGCUUGAGGGUGGUUGGGGUGAGUGGAACUCCUGGUGGAGCGGUGAAAUGCGUAGAUAUCAGGAGGAACACCGGUGGCGAAAGCGGCUCACUGGACCAUUACUGACGCUGAGGUGCGAAAGCUAGGGGAGCAAACGGGAUUAGAUACCCCGGUAGUCCUAGCCGUAAACGAUGGGUACUGGGUAGGGG
Molecule: ribosomal RNA, 745 nt
Filed under: uncultured Planctomycetota bacterium
Lineage: Bacteria; Pseudomonadati; Planctomycetota
Description: bacterial SSU rRNA
Rfam family: Bacterial small subunit ribosomal RNA
Source: RNAcentral